Molecule: ribosomal RNA, 727 nt
Filed under: Lelliottia amnigena
Lineage: Bacteria; Pseudomonadati; Pseudomonadota; Gammaproteobacteria; Enterobacterales; Enterobacteriaceae
Description: bacterial SSU rRNA
Rfam family: Bacterial small subunit ribosomal RNA
Source: RNAcentral
GCUCAGAUUGAACGCUGGCGGCAGGCCUAACACAUGCAAGUCGAGCGGUAGCACAGGGAGCUUGCUCCUGGGUGACGAGCGGCGGACGGGUGAGUAAUGUCUGGGAAACUGCCUGAUGGAGGGGGAUAACUACUGGAAACGGUAGCUAAUACCGCAUAACGUCGCAAGACCAAAGAGGGGGACCUUCGGGCCUCUUGCCAUCAGAUGUGCCCAGAUGGGAUUAGCUAGUAGGUGGGGUAAUGGCUCACCUAGGCGACGAUCCCUAGCUGGUCUGAGAGGAUGACCAGCCACACUGGAACUGAGACACGGUCCAGACUCCUACGGGAGGCAGCAGUGGGGAAUAUUGCACAAUGGGCGCAAGCCUGAUGCAGCCAUGCCGCGUGUAUGAAGAAGGCCUUCGGGUUGUAAAGUACUUUCAGCGAGGAGGAAGGCAUUGUGGUUAAUAACCACAGUGAUUGACGUUACUCGCAGAAGAAGCACCGGCUAACUCCGUGCCAGCAGCCGCGGUAAUACGGAGGGUGCAAGCGUUAAUCGGAAUUACUGGGCGUAAAGCGCACGCAGGCGGUCUGUCAAGUCGGAUGUGAAAUCCCCGGGCUCAACCUGGGAACUGCAUUCGAAACUGGCAGGCUAGAGUCUUGUAGAGGGGGGUAGAAUUCCAGGUGUAGCGGUGAAAUGCGUAGAGAUCUGGAGGAAUACCGGUGGCGAAGGCGGCCCCCUGGACAAAGAC